UACGUAGGUGGCAAGCGUUGUCCGGAAUUAUUGGGCGUAAAGCGCGCGCAGGUGGGAUCUUAAGUCCAUUUUGAAAGUUCGGAGCUCAACUCCGAGAUGGGAUGGAAACUGGGAUUCUUGAGUAUCGGAGAGGAAAGCGGAAUUCCCCGUGUAGCGGUGAAAUGCGUAGAUAUGGGGAGGAACACCAGUGGCGAAGGCGGCUUUCUGGACGAUGUCUGACACUGAGGCGCGAAAGCCAGGGGAGCGAACGGG
RNAcentral lists this ribosomal RNA (252 nucleotides) under uncultured bacterium. RNAcentral describes it as "partial 16S ribosomal RNA". It matches the Rfam family "Bacterial small subunit ribosomal RNA", at positions 524 to 776 of the family's 1533-position model. The record is from RNAcentral.